UCCAAGGUGGUGUGUAAACGG
RNAcentral lists this non-coding RNA (21 nucleotides) under Arabidopsis thaliana (thale cress). The record is from RNAcentral. Lineage: Eukaryota; Viridiplantae; Streptophyta; Magnoliopsida; Brassicales; Brassicaceae.